This 90-nucleotide transfer RNA is filed under the name Pseudogymnoascus sp. 23342-1-I1. It matches the Rfam family "tRNA". Rfam says of the family: Transfer RNA (tRNA) molecules are approximately 80 nucleotides in length. The record is from Rfam by way of RNAcentral. Lineage: Eukaryota; Fungi; Ascomycota; Leotiomycetes; Thelebolales; Thelebolaceae.
UCCGGUAUAGUGUAGGGGUUAACAUAACCCGCUUUCAAUAAUUUGCUUUGGAGCACCGGGUAGCCCCGGGUUCGAUUCCCGGUACCGGAA